CAUUAUACUAAUGGACUGCCCUGCUCUUAACAAUACUAGACAACGCUUUUAGUCAGAAAAUACGUAUUUAAGUAUUCCGAAAUGUCUGACCAGGAAAAAUCCUGGUGUUCUAAUUGAAUAUUAAAGUGAAGGAUCUCUUGUUGAUGCUGCUGAAAUGUCGUAAGAUUUUAUUGUUGUAAUGCUGUAAGAAUGACUGGAAUGCCCUGCUUUACCUCCCUUGAUCUUGCUAUGAAAAUAGCCACUGAUGCUGGCAUGCAAUUAAAAGAACAAUAAAUAAAUUCUGAAGGUCCGAUCAGGACAUUUACUUAUGUAAAGAAUACAAGAACUUGGAAGUGCAGUUAUGGCUGAAAAAUGAGGUCGUAAAUUCAGCGUCAACUCGUCCGUCGUGGCAAGUGGAGCAGAGCCCAACCGGUUGUGGGGGAGCCUGGAGCCUGUUCCAGGGAACUCUGGGCACAAGGCAGGGGCCACAGUGGACAGCGUGCCAACCCACCGCAGGGCACCAUCUCUCUCACUCGCACAUUCAUGAUGGACAAUUUGGAAGUGGGAAUCAGCCUGGAAAGCAUGUCUUUGGACUAGGGGAAGGGACGCUGGGGUACCUGGAGGAACUCCUCGAAACAUGUGGAGAACAUGUAAACUCUGCUCACACACGGCGGAGGCGGGAUUUGAACCCCCACCCCGGAGGUGUAAGGAAGACGUGGUAACCACUAAGGCACUGUGCCCCCCUUCACAAAUCUAUACGUUUAAAAUAUUAAAAAGAAAUAUUAAUUUAC
Ictalurus furcatus (blue catfish) is the source of this 770-nucleotide long non-coding RNA. RefSeq lists it as uncharacterized. Lineage: Eukaryota; Metazoa; Chordata; Actinopteri; Siluriformes; Ictaluridae. The transcript has 2 exons. The record is from RefSeq and is a predicted model, not a curated record.